AUACGUCGGGGGCGCGCGUUGUCCGGAAUGAUUGGGCGUAAAGGGCGCGUAGGCGGCCCGGUAAGUCUGGAGUGAAAGUCCUGUUUUUAAGAUGGGAAUUGCUUUGGAUACUGUCGGGCUUGAGUGCAGGAGAGGUAAGUGGAAUUCCCAGUGUAGCGGUGAAAUGCGUAGAGAUUGGGAGGAACACCAGUGGCGAAGGCGACUUACUGGACUGUAACUGACGCUGAGGCGCGAAAGUGUGGGGAGCAAACAGGAUUAGAUACCCUGGUAGUCCACACUGUAAACGAUGAAUGCUAGGUGUAGGGGGUAUCGACCCCUUCUGUGCCGCAGUCAACACAAUAAGCAUUCCGCCUGGGGAGUACGGCCGCAAGGUUGAAACUCAAAUGAAUUGACGGGG
This 397-nucleotide ribosomal RNA is filed under the name uncultured bacterium. RNAcentral's name for it is "partial 16S ribosomal RNA". It matches the Rfam family "Bacterial small subunit ribosomal RNA", at positions 523 to 918 of the family's 1533-position model. The record is from RNAcentral.